UAUCUCCUAAGAACCCAAAUCGUAAGCCUAAUCAGACCGGCGCCCCCUCUUCACCCCCAUUUCACCGCCAGAUCACGCCCAAACCACCGAAAAUCUCCCCCAAAACAUCACAUGGUCCCCCCUCAUGGUCCCCUCCUCUCAUAUUCCUUCCACAUAAUUCGAAUCUACAACGACCUCUGCCAACAAGAAUGUUCUCGUUCCUUUUCAUCCGGUCUUGAGAAUGAUUUUUGGAUUAAUGGGAGCUAUGGAUUGAUUAUGAAUCAAUCUUGGCCUUCCAUUUAUCCCAAAAUCGUUCGCAAAAGAAAAUCAGAGGGCUUUGAUUUUUUUAAUAUAAUUUUUGGAUUUUUGGAGGUUUUUUAGGGGAUUUCUUGCAAAGGAAGGGGAGAAGCUUUGAGGCAGGGUUAGGAGUUUUCUUCCUGUUCUUAUAUUUCUAGCAGAAGAAUCAUAAAAAAAUUAUGUUUUUCAUCUUUUGGUGGCCAUUUUUUUCCAAAAAACAGACACAUAUAUAUAAAAAAACAUUUUUGUUUGUGUUAGUUAGUCUUUAAAAUUUCAAAAAAAAAAGAAAAAAAUUCGUCUCCUUCAGUUUUAGAUUUCCACUGUUCGCUUCUGAAAGUGUAGUUAGAUUGAAUCCUGGAUUUCGGAUCGAAGAUUGGAGUCGCGUGGAGUUGAGUUGAGUCGAGAUGCCGAUUUGAGUCUUUGAGGUUUGUCGGAGUUCAAUUCAGUGAGUCACGGUUCCUGCCGUUGCAUCGCUUGUUCAUUUCAAAGCGUAGUCGGAAAGUUAACUUGUAAUCGCUUACAAGCGAAUUUAAUCGAAAUUAAUUUCCUUCCUCAUUCUGUUUGCUUUACUGUUUUUUGGUGAUGAAUUAAGCAUGACAAAAUCCUAGGAUAAGCAAUCCGAACUAGUUUGAAUUUCUUAGAUGCUUCAGUUCGAGCGCUAAUAGGAACAAAUUGUCGGAUUUUGAUUGAGAAGAGUUUGGUUGAAUUCUGUUGGUAUGUGCAUCUGCUCUGUUUCGUUUGUGUGUUCAAGUAUUGUAUCAUCUUAGACUUGACUGAUUCCAAUAUGCUUGACUGAAGUCGGAAUGGGCUGGUAGUUGUAUGGAUUAUUGAAGUGUCAUAUUACUGUUAGUUGCAAUUCGAUUAGUCCCUCUGAUGUUUGCAAAGUUUCCCUGUUAGUAUCUGUUGGCCUGUUAACUUAAAACUAUUCUUACUUGUUGGAACUCGGGGUCUUGUCAUAGGGUUUGCUUGACUUCAAACAUGACAAUGCGAGCAUGAUGCAUUUCUUUUCGAGUUGGUAUUAGUUUCCAUUUGAAUGGGCUCUCAUGAGAAGAAUGCUGGAGUCCUCUAUUCGUAUUUGAUUAGCUUGAGGGAUAGCUAAACUUC
Molecule: long non-coding RNA, 1380 nt
Filed under: Nicotiana benthamiana
Lineage: Eukaryota; Viridiplantae; Streptophyta; Magnoliopsida; Solanales; Solanaceae
Description: long non-coding RNA (NBEN_LNC011953)
Source: RNAcentral